RNAcentral lists this ribosomal RNA (424 nucleotides) under uncultured Pseudoflavonifractor sp. RNAcentral describes it as "bacterial SSU rRNA". It matches the Rfam family "Bacterial small subunit ribosomal RNA", at positions 355 to 794 of the family's 1533-position model. Lineage: Bacteria; Bacillati; Bacillota; Clostridia; Eubacteriales; Oscillospiraceae. The record is from RNAcentral.
UGGGGAAUAUUGGGCAAUGGGCGAAAGCCUGACCCAGCAACGCCGCGUGGAGGAAGAAGGUUUUCGGAUCGUAAACUCCUGUCCUCAGGGAAGAGAAGGAGACGGUACCUGAGGAGGAAGCCCCGGCUAACUACGUGCCAGCAGCCGCGGUAAUACGUAGGUUGCAAGCGUUGUCCGGAUUUACUGGGUGUAAAGGGCGUGUAGGCGGAGGAGCAAGUCAGAUGUGAAAUCCCGGGGCUUAACCCCGGAACUGCAUUUGAAACUGUUCCCCUUGAGUAUCGGAGAGGCAAGCGGAAUUCCUAGUGUAGCGGUGAAAUGCGUAGAUAUUAGGAGGAACACCAGUGGCGAAGGCGGCUUGCUGGACGACAACUGACGCUGAGGCGCGAAAGCGUGGGGAGCAAACAGGAUUAGAUACCCUGGUAGU